CGUGUCACAAUCGCUACGAGAUUAAUAAACGUCAGGAUUGGAAUAAAUUUGUGCACUACUUGAAGAAUUAUCACCAUGGUCACGGUCAGCCUCCCAUGUCUGUGCGUCGGUGCAGUGGGUCCCAUGUGCUUGGGUUUCUCAAGUACCUGGACCAGUUCGGUGCAACCAAAGUUCAUAAGAUGAGCUGCGAGUAUUAUGGGCAAGCUUAUUCCUCGGUCGCAUGUUCUUGUCCGCUCAAGGAGGCAUGGAGUAGCCUCCAAAGCGUUGUCGGACGCCUCCGUGUCGCCUUUGAGGAGUAUGGGGGCUCACCGCUGACAAAUCCGUUUGGUUCAUCGGUGGUGUGGUUGUAUCUAGAGGAGGUUAAAGUUUCUCAGGCUAAAGCUCGGGGUCUAAGUUAUAAAUGCUGAUCGAAAUGAAAGAAAAGAAUAUGGCUACAUAAUUAAUUUAAGCCACGUGAUGAAAUUGAAAACCUUAAAAAUGAAAUGAGGUUUCGUCAAAUCAAAAUCUUUCAUGAUUUUCGAUAGAAUCACCCCCUCGCUCAGGCCCCGAGAGCUCCAAGAAUAUUGUUUGUUACUUUUUCUUCACAAAUUCGAGAAUGGGCAAAUCGCAUGAGAUCUCGGUACAAAUUGUACAACCCGCAUCUUUGUGCAAGUACAAUGACAAGGUCCGAUCAAAAUUUCCUCUCAGAAGAUGAAUAGUUCCCUUUCGAAGCAUGGAAUGGACCCUAGAUGAGAGAUCGAGUUCAUAAUUUAUAUUUAUAUUUUAAUAUUUUUUGGCAACUCAGCUGCAAAUAUUAAACUUGAUGCAGCUUACCGGAUCUAGGAACUACUUGCGCAGAUUCGGUAGUACUCUCAAACAGGGGCACUUACCAAUAAAGAAUAUUAUACAAAAAUGUAUAGUGGUGUUUCUUAACAAACAAGAUAUGCCGGUGUUGUUUAUUGUUUGUAGAUAAAUUACUCCCUAUUUGGUGAUUCUAUUUUUAGAGGAUUAUAUAGAUUUGUAUGUAAAUUUGAGUUUUCAUUAUAAUAUUGAUUUAUUUAUACGAUCUGCAUUCUUUUAUAAUUCCAUUAAAAGUAUAAUCUAAUUAUACUUAUAUAAAAUGAUAUCUUCUUAAAUAAUUAUAAUCCAAAAAUUGCACUUCAUUUCAAAUAAUUCAAUAUCGGAACUUGUUCUUUCAUGGCUCAACAACUUUAUAAAUGUGAACAGAAAUGAAUUAUUUCUCAAUUUCUCUAAUUAAAUAAAAUUAAUUAUUUCAACAGAAAUGAACCAAUGUUAUAAAUGUUGGACCACACGCUUCUAUUAUUUAUCAAUUUGUCCAUUCUUCAUGACAAUACGUUGCUCUCAAUCGGUCUAUAACCACACACGUCCAUUUUUUGUUUCCUAGAAACUUAUUAUUUUAUUUGUAUGUGAAAUUAAGCUUGUUGGUAAUUAUGUUCACAACGAAAGGCUUGAUAAGAGCUCGUAAUUAUAAUGUAAUACAUACCCACGCCUCUGGCACGAACGUAGUACUCUUGAUUAACUAAUUUAGAAAUUAGAAGCAACCUCCUUGACUAAUUAUAGUGUGGAUUACUCCAUAUAAUGGAGAUCAAUACUACCCGCAGUCAUUUGUUUUAAGAUCAACUAGUUGAGAAGCCGCGCGUUGCGGCGGCCAAUAAAAAUUAUAUUAAUGAUUCAAUAUUAAUAUUUAUAGAAUAAAAUAUUUUUUGGCUGUCUAUAAAAAGUAUAUUAAUGUUUCAAAGUUAAUAUUUGUACAAUAAAAUAAAUUUAUAUUAUAAAAAUCUUGAUAUAAUACCAAUACUAAUAUAUAAAAUUGCAAAAUUGGACUAUAGUUCAUGGUGAAAAAAUGAAAAAUAAAUUUAUACACGUAAUUAACAAUUUAAAGAAUGACGAAUCUUAAUUAUUUUUUUUUGAAAAGUAAUCAUGUUCUUGCAUUGUCACCUUCCUCCAAUUUUUUUAAUUGAUGGAGUAGCCUCCAAAGCGUUGUCGGACGCCUCCGUGUCGCCUUUGAGGAGUAUGGGGGCUCACCGCUGACAAAUCCGUUUGGUUCAUCGGUGGUGUGGUUGUAUCUAGAGGAGGUUAAAGUUUCUCAGGCUAAAGCUCGGGGUCUAAGUUAUAAAUGCUGAUCGAAAUGAAAGAAAAGAAUAUGGCUACAUAAUUAAUUUAAGCCACGUGAUGAAAUUGAAAACCUUAAAAAUGAAAUGAGGUUUCGUCAAAUCAAAAUCUUUCAUGAUUUUCGAUAGAAUCACCCCCUCGCUCAGGCCCCGAGAGCUCCAAGAAUAUUGUUUGUUACUUUUUCUUCACAAAUUCGAGAAUGGGCAAAUCGCAUGAGAUCUCGGUACAAAUUGUACAACCCGCAUCUUUGUGCAAGUACAAUGACAAGGUCCGAUCAAAAUUUCCUCUCAGAAGAUGAAUAGUUCCCUUUCGAAGCAUGGAAUGGACCCUAGAUGAGAGAUCGAGUUCAUAAUUUAUAUUUAUAUUUUAAUAUUUUUUGGCAACUCAGCUGCAAAUAUUAAACUUGAUGCAGCUUACCGGAUCUAGGAACUACUUGCGCAGAUUCGGUAGUACUCUCAAACAGGGGCACUUACCAAUAAAGAAUAUUAUACAAAAAUGUAUAGUGGUGUUUCUUAACAAACAAGAUAUGCCGGUGUUGUUUAUUGUUUGUAGAUAAAUUACUCCCUAUUUGGUGAUUCUAUUUUUAGAGGAUUAUAUAGAUUUGUAUGUAAAUUUGAGUUUUCAUUAUAAUAUUGAUUUAUUUAUACGAUCUGCAUUCUUUUAUAAUUCCAUUAAAAGUAUAAUCUAAUUAUACUUAUAUAAAAUGAUAUCUUCUUAAAUAAUUAUAAUCCAAAAAUUGCACUUCAUUUCAAAUAAUUCAAUAUCGGAACUUGUUCUUUCAUGGCUCAACAACUUUAUAAAUGUGAACAGAAAUGAAUUAUUUCUCAAUUUCUCUAAUUAAAUAAAAUUAAUUAUUUCAACAGAAAUGAACCAAUGUUAUAAAUGUUGGACCACACGCUUCUAUUAUUUAUCAAUUUGUCCAUUCUUCAUGACAAUACGUUGCUCUCAAUCGGUCUAUAACCACACACGUCCAUUUUUUGUUUCCUAGAAACUUAUUAUUUUAUUUGUAUGUGAAAUUAAGCUUGUUGGUAAUUAUGUUCACAACGAAAGGCUUGAUAAGAGCUCGUAAUUAUAAUGUAAUACAUACCCACGCCUCUGGCACGAACGUAGUACUCUUGAUUAACUAAUUUAGAAAUUAGAAGCAACCUCCUUGACUAAUUAUAGUGUGGAUUACUCCAUAUAAUGGAGAUCAAUACUACCCGCAGUCAUUUGUUUUAAGAUCAACUAGUUGAGAAGCCGCGCGUUGCGGCGGCCAAUAAAAAUUAUAUUAAUGAUUCAAUAUUAAUAUUUAUAGAAUAAAAUAUUUUUUGGCUGUCUAUAAAAAGUAUAUUAAUGUUUCAAAGUUAAUAUUUGUACAAUAAAAUAAAUUUAUAUUAUAAAAAUCUUGAUAUAAUACCAAUACUAAUAUAUAAAAUUGCAAAAUUGGACUAUAGUUCAUGGUGAAAAAAUGAAAAAUAAAUUUAUACACGUAAUUAACAAUUUAAAGAAUGACGAAUCUUAAUUAUUUUUUUUUGAAAAGUAAUCAUGUUCUUGCAUUGUCACCUUCCUCCAAUUUUUUUAAUUGAUUGUGCACAAAAACAUCUAACUUAAAUCUGUGAGAUAGCGGUCUAUAACUCCCUUCUUAAAACUUGCUUGAACGGAGCAAACAGAUAAUGCAUGAAUAAUUUUUUCCCGUAUACAAAGUAAAUCAUAUAAAAAUUAACGACAACAAACAUGUCUGAUGAACAAAACAUAUAUUAUAAAAGAAUAACCAACAAACAUACAUCACUAAUAGUUUAUUUUGUUGAUAUCAACCAUCAAUAUCACGUCAAGACUAUAUUCUUUUCCGUGUUUGGAUUUGUGGACUCCGAUAUAACGGUCUAUAACUACCUUUGUUUGCAACAAUCUUUGUUUUUUUAAUACUGUAUAAACAGCCUUCACUUAUCGUUGCAGAAGAAUCGAGCAAGAGAAAGAUAAUUCUAAUUUUUGAUAUUUUUUAUCCAAAAAUUUCAGAAAAUUAGAAAAAUAGAACGGAGCGAUGUGAGAGGCGCCACCUACACGCCCCCUCGCUUCUCCUUUAAAAAUCGAGAUCGAGUAAGAGAACUAUUACCAGAAAGAGGUAGGUUUGUGGUAUUGAGAGAGGAGGUUGUGUUUAGAUGAUCCAAAACCCUACGAUCUAUACGGGUAUUUAUAGGUGCAGAGAGACUUGUUUGCUACUCUUUUCCAUAAUUAAAUAAUCUGAACAAAAUCAGAAUAAAAUUUUCAAGUUACUGUAUUCCAUAAAUAAUCUAUAUUUCCCAUAAUUAAAUAAUCCGAAACAAAAUCAGAUUAAAACUUUCAAGCUACUAUAUUCCAUAAAUAAUCUGAAACAAAAUCAGAUUCUGAAACUUGCUUCUAAUAUACCCGAAACUAAAAAAGGUAGUUCUAAUUUUUGAUAUUUUUCAUCCAGAAAUUUCAGAAAAUUAGAAAAAUAGAACGGAGCGAUGUGAGAGGCGCCACCUAGACGCCCCUCGCUUCUCCUUUAUAUAAAUAUAUUGACUUAGCGUAAGAUACUAAAAUACAAAUUAUUUGAAUUAUUGAGUAUAAUAAAAUAACCAUCAAUUUUCAAUUUAUCUAGAUAUUUAAUAUUUACUUUUUAUAUGGAAGAAAGGUAAAAAGAAAACUAUAUACUUUUUUCUGGUUUUUGUGAAUUAUGAUGAAAGUAGACUAAAAACAUAGCGCAUAUGCCAAGACAUAUGGAUUAAGACUGGAUACAAGCAGAAUUAGGGGUGAUCGCGGUGCGGGCGGUGCGGUUUUUCGCUAAAACCGCGAACCAAACCGCGCAUGCGGUUUGGUUGAAAACUCAAACCGCAACCGCACCACGUUAGCAUAAAAACCACGUAAACCGCAUCACAAAAAUGCGGUGUGGUGCGGUUUGUGCGGUUUGUAUGCUUAAGAAUAAAUAUUUUUAGUUGAAGUUCGAAAUAAAAUUUAAAUGUACAAUAAUUAAAAUCUUUUCUUGUAAAAAAUUUAUAUGAUAUUUAUCAUUUUAAAACUACAUCAACUACUAAAAAACACAAACAAAAGUGUAAAUAUGAUAAUAAAUAUGAGCACUAAAUACAAAGAGACAUAUUAUAAUAAUAUAAUCAUUUCAUAAAAAUUUGGUAUAAUAGUAAUGCGAGAUUGAUAAAUUAAUAUUUAACUAUUAUUUGAAGAGAUUUAACAAAUAUAUAUAACAUAAUUAUAAAUAAUAUAUAUGUAUAUAAUAUAAUUUUAUUUGACAAUCACUAAUAUAUAUAUAUUAUAAUAUCGUGGUGCGGUGCGGUUUGAACCGCACUACUAAUAUGUUAAACCGCAACCCGCACCACACCGCGCGGUUUGUGAAAAAUUCAAAACGCAACCGCACCACGAAAAUUAAAAACCACGUUUUGUGGUGCGGUUCGGUGCGGUGUGGGCGGUUUAUGCGGUUUGGGCGGUUUUCUGAUCACCCCUAAGCAGAAUAAUAACAUGACUGAUGAAAAUUGAAAAAGCAAACUUUCCCUUUUCCUAAUGGCUACUAAUUAUCAUGGAAUAAAGUAAGAUUCCAGCCAACCAAACAGAAAAAAUUAGGUUUCUAUCACUUGAGUAUCUACUUGGCCGAUAUAUUAGUUAGUACAACCGACCCGAACUAAAUACCGGCAUGCUGCCAAAUAGAUCAGGGUAACCUUUAAUAUGACAUACAACCGUAACUAAUAAUUUUCUUAUGCCGCAUAAUUAAUUUUCAUAAGCGGCAUCAUAUCCCAUCCAGGACUGGCGCUAUCGGGAUUAAACACCCGGCUUCUAUAAUUUUUUAUAUUAUGAUUUGAAAUAUUUUAUAUUUGAACUCCUGGCAAUAUUUUUGCUCAUUUCAAAAUUAUUUUUCCAGUUAUAUAAAAUUUUUACACAAAUAAAGUCAGCCUCUUGAUGGAUUUCUGGGUGACCGCCUGCAAUUUGAAUAAAUUACAGUGUAGACAUAAUAGUAAGAGCGAAUCCAAUGGAGGUGCUAAAGUAGGUGCUACUGCUAUUGUAAAGCACCCAAGCACAAAACUCAAACUCCAAUGGGAUGCUAAACUUGAAUGUAAAAUAACAAAAUGCUAUACUUGGUUCUAAAUAUAGUUACAAGUAUAGAUGGUGCUAUAAUUGUCACAUAAGCAUGCAAGUGACAAAAUACAUUAAUAAAGUAAUAGUGACAAAUACAAUUAUGUGCUUUAAGAUUAUAUAUUGAGAAUAUAGCUUUAUUUGGAUAUGUUUGGUUCUAUUUUACACUUACCAUUGGACCGUAAGUUCUGUUUUAGCAUCAAAAAUCACUUUUUGGUUUCAAAUUAUAAAAAUAGCUACAUCUAUUUUAACAUCACCAUUGGACUUGCUCUAACCAAGUAAUGAAAUACUCCCUCCGUCCCAAAUUAAAUGUCCUGUUUGACUUUUUUCUGGUCAAUUUGACCCAAUUUUAACUGAAAUUUUAAAAUUAUUCUUUUAUAAUUUUACAAAACUGAAAAAUAUAUUUUAAAUUAGAUUUGAUAAUCUUUUCAAUGAAAUAUUUUUCAUAAUUUUAUUCAAUUAUUUAAUAUACAAAUUUUUCAGUCAAAGUUAAGUCAAAUUGACCAAAAAAAAUCAAACAUGACAGUUAAUUUGUGACGGAGGGAGCAGUAAUUAUUUUAGUCGAUUAAUUGUCAAAUAGGGAACCAAAAUCCAAAAUGUAGAAUAUGUACACAUCACUACGAUAUGAAAGUGAUGCAAUGUACGACUAGUUGAAUACUCCCUCCGUCCCGGUCAAUAGUAUACAUUAGGGGAUGGGGGCGCGGCACGGACUUUAAUGCUUCAAUAUAGUAUAGUUCUGUAAAUUAUUUUUAAAAUUUUCUUUUUUUGUAUAAAAAUAUAACAUUUAUAUUUUUAUACAAAAAAAGAAAAUUUUAAAAAUAAGUUGUAGAACUAUGUUUUAUAAGAACCUUAAAAAGCGUGUCGAGCAGUGAAAAAGAAACGUAUACAAUUGACUGGGACAGAGGGAGUACUAUCAGUUACAAGUAGGAUGUCAUCAUUUUCUCUUAACCUGACAACAGAUUGUACACCAUGAACUGUAUAAACUUCUCUCAAACCUCCUCUUUUUGUUAACUUGACGCAACUAAAGUGUUACACAAGAUUGUUUGUAUCUAUGGAUGAUCAAGGUAAAUGGUAAGACACUCCACUUGUUUAUGUUAAAUAAAGGAGUAAAUGACACUUUGCACCCAUUAUAUUUUGGACUUUUUGCAGACCGGUCCCCUUCUAUUAAAUCUUGCAUUUCACACCCGUUAUCUUUUUUGACGUGUCGAAAUGCACUUAAAUGCUAACAGCCGUUUAAAAUCGCCGUUAAUUUUAACUAACGCAAGCAAGGACAAUGAUGUAAUUACGCCAGCUACCCUUCAUUUUCCCCUUUUAUGUUACACCACCAAACCAUGCUUCGCUCCAGUGCAGUAGUGAAUUAGUGAUGUUAAUAUGGGUGGUUUUUAUUUGCAAAAGCCGUGGGUUCUAUUUUGCAUAGAAUAUUUUAUCAAAAAAAUAACUAUUUUAAUAUACAUUAUAUAUUUAUAAAAUUACUAAUAUAAAAAAAAAGUUUAAUGUUUUAUAGUAUAUAAAACUAGUGUUUGUUAACUAAUUAUUCUAAUAUUUAAAAUAUUACAACUAUAUCUUUAAAUAUAAUUAUUUAUUUUAUUUUCACUUGUAUUAAAUAAUAUAAUUAAUUUUUUAUUAAUAAUUCAUUAACAAUCAUUUUCGUAAAGAUAGCUGUUGAAAUUUAAAAAUAAAAAUAAUAACUAUUUUUCAAAUAUAGCUAAUCAUUGUAACUAAUACCAUUAAAACAAAAUGUCUUGCAGUUUCAGUAUAUUUUAGAUAAUAUAUAUAUUAUACUAUUUUCAUAAAUUAAAAUAAUAAUAUUAUUUUAAUUAAUUAGAAUAUAAUAUAUAUUUAUAUAAAAUGUUUAUUUGACUGAAUUUGUAAGAAAUUUAUUUAUGAAUAAACUGUUUAUUUGACUGAAUUUAUAAGAAAGCUAUAUUCAAAAUUAUGUUAUUUCCAAAUGCUAACAAUUACAUUUUUAAAUAAUAAUUAUUUCCCGAAUUUAAUCAAAUGAAGUUUUUAUACAAGAAAAGGGUUGUAAAUAAAUUAAUAUUAAUUAAAAAUUUAUUUUUUUGUAUAACACAAUUAAAAUAAAAUAUAUAAUUAAUAAAAUCUAUUUAGUAAUAUUAUUAUUAUCUCAAAUACGAUAAAAUAUUAUUAUAUGUGGCGUAUAUAUGAGUGUACAUGAAGAGCUGUUCAAUAACCUCUUCAAUUACUGCUUUGUCCUUGUAUCUACUGAUCUUAACGAUAGAUUUAGACGGCCGUUAUGAUUUAAGUGCAUUUCGACGCUUCAAAAAAGAUAGCGGGUGUGAAAUGCAAGAUUUAAUAGAAGAGUAUCGGUCUGCAAAAAGUCCAAAACAUAAUGGAUGCAAAGUGACAUUUACUCUAAAUAAAGAUAUCAAUUGUAGAGCUUAUAAUUAGUACUCCCCCGUCUCUAAAUACUUUUCUUGUUUGUCUUUAUCACGUUUGCCAAUACACACUUUUGAUCAUUAAUAUCAUUGAUUUUAUAUUAGUAUUAAAUAUAAAAACUUCACCGUAUUAAAGUACUCAUAAAUACGAACCCAACAAAAUCACUCAUGACUAUAUUUUAUCUUAUAGAUUAAACGUAAAUUAGUAAUUUGUCUCGUGUUAUAAAUAGUGUCAAUAUUUCAAUGACAAUAUUUUUAGAGACGGAGGGAGCAGAUAAAACUACAUACACCAGUCAGAAUAUCAAACAGGCUUGAGCAUGCAUGAUAUAUCUCACUCGUAUCGUAGUUUUAGAGUAAGGUCCGCGGAAGCUGGAAGUUGUAAUUCGUAAAUAAGAUCUCCGAUUUCACCCGAAUAAAAUCACUUGGUCUUAGAAGGAAACAUUGUUGCUGUGGAUAUCUCAGCCUUGGUUCCAUUUAAAGGCAAGUUUAACACCUUAAUUUCUUCAACUGUGGUAUACAUUAAUAAAAAUCACAGAUCUUACAUAUAGCAAGAUAAAAUAGAUAUGAUUGUAUCUAUAGUACUCCAUAAAAACACACAUUACAAUCUCAUCUCGCAUAACACUCUCCAACUGCACAUAAGCUGAGCAUCAAAAUAAAAAGUCUCAGAAUAGCAAUGAAAUGUAAAGAUUAUUCUUAAAGCAAACCAAUCUAUAGAUCUGAACUUGGGCAUAUUUAUCCAAAAUUAUGAGUGAGCUAAAUAAUGAUUCAAAUUUGAGACGAACGACAGUACGACUAUGUUGAUUUAUAUAAAAUAAUGAUUUUAUUAUUUGAAUAUUUUUACUUAUCAUAUUUAAUUUUUUUAGUUACUUAAAUAAUAACAAUAAUAUGUAAUCAGCAAUUAAUAAAAUUGAAUUAUUGAAUAAAGCUUAAUUAUAAUGAUGAGAAACAUCAAUUUUGCUUUGAUAUGAUAAAAUAUUUAUUUAUCCUCGAAAAUAAUUAAAAUAUUGUCCAUUCCAUUCUUGUCUUCAUCUUCAUUUCCUCGAUUUAAAAUAUCUUUGUUUCUUAAGUCGUUAGCAAUGAAUAUUCAAUUUUAAAUAAAAAUCAGAAUGAAAUUAAAGAAUACGAGAAUAACUAAGUAUAUGAUAAUGAAUACAACAAGAAGAAUAUAAAAGAUAAUUUAUUUUUCAACUGAAAUUUGUGUUAUCAUUCUAUGUCACAAAAAUAACUAAUGCAAAUAUAAAAUAUGAUUUGAGUUCCCAAUUUAUUUGACUAGACCAAACUCCUCCAUAAUAUUGUGACUUGUGACGCAGAAUUUAGAUCACGACACCCACAGCUUUCUUUAAGACACCAAACAAUAUCACACGUGACUUGUGACGCAGAAUUUAGAUCACGACACCCACAGCUUUCUUUAAGACACCAAACAAUAUCACACGUAACCUUGUUUGACCGACGAUAUUGUACACGACACGGUUGAACGGCAUGAAAACAACAUGAAAAUGUCGUAUUUGUGUUUAUGUAUUUGUUACACGACACGAAAAUAUGCAUACACAAAAAUAUACGAGUUAAUUUCAUGUCGGUUUUGGGCUUACUUAUCGAGUACAUGAUACAAUUAAUUAAUUAUGAUGAUAGAUAAUUAAUAAUAAAUAGUAAUAACAUGAUUUAUCAUAUGUAAUUUUAUUAUAAUAAUAGUUUUUAUAAAUAACAAAGAUAUAAUAUCAUACUAUAUAAAAUUUAAUUAAAUAUCAAUUUUUAAAAUAUUAAAAUGUAAUUUCGUAUUCUAUUUUUCGUUUUGUGUACAUUUAGUUAUUGUAUCUUUCAUUUCGUGCAUAUUUCGUGUACUUUUCCUGCAUAUUUCGUGUAUUUUUCGUGUUCAAUUUGUGUCGUGUAAUUUUAAACACACAAAAAUUUCGUGUACUUCUUGUCAUGUCGUGUUAUUUCGUUCGUGUUGUGUUCGUAUUUAGAUUUCAGAUACACGAAUUUAUUGCAUAUUGUGUUUUUGUUGACACCAAAUACACGACACAAAAAAUAUUACGUGACGUGUUGUUUCUGAUACCAGGUACACGACACAAAAAAUACAUGAUACGAUAAGAACGGCCAGGUCUAAACCCCGCUAACAAAUACAUUAAACAACUUCGUCUAUAUAUACCACCCACAUGUACAUAUUUUAUAUUUCACACUCUUAACUUUUCACAAGCAGCUACCAAAAAUUCCUCCCUCUCAUUGUCUCAUUUUUAUCUCCCAAAGCAUAGCUAAGAAAAAUAUCCAUCUCUCUUGUCGUCAAAAGAAUGUCAGCUGCCGUUGCUGCUGCUUCAGCAGCCGCCAACCGUCGCAACUCCGCCACCACCACAGCGAAAAAGACCAACUACACUACUCCCAACAAUUAUUACCUAUCGCUCUCAGCAUCACCACCGUGCAACAACCGCUACGAGAUUUAUAAAUGCCAGGACUGGAACAAAUUCCUACACUACUUGAAGAAUUACAGCCAAGGCCGCGGCCAGCCUCCUUUGUCUGUGCGUCGGUGCAGCGGGUCCCAUGUGCUUGGAUUUCUCAAGUACCUGGACCAGUUCGGUGGAACCAAAGUUCAUAAGAUGAGUUGUGAGUAUUAUGGACAAGCUUAUUCCUCGGUCGCAUGUUCUUGUCCGCUCAAGGAGGCGUGGAGCAGCCUCCAAGGCGUUGUCGGACGCCUUCGUGUCGCCUUUGAGG
RNAcentral lists this long non-coding RNA (11285 nucleotides) under Daucus carota (carrot). Its description in RNAcentral is "long non-coding RNA (DCAR_LNC001520)". Lineage: Eukaryota; Viridiplantae; Streptophyta; Magnoliopsida; Apiales; Apiaceae. The record is from RNAcentral.